Molecule: ribosomal RNA, 578 nt
Filed under: uncultured bacterium
Lineage: Bacteria
Description: bacterial SSU rRNA
Rfam family: Bacterial small subunit ribosomal RNA
Source: RNAcentral
AAACCUGGCGGCGUGCUUAACACAUGCAAGUCGAGCGGAAAGGCCCUUCGGGGUACUCGAGCGGCGAACGGGUGAGUAACACGUGAGCAAUCUGCCCUUAGCUUCGGGAUAGCUCCGGGAAACCGGAAUUAAUACCGGAUAUGACCAUGGGCGACAUCGGCCAUGGUGGAAAGUUUUUCGGCUAGGGAUGAGCUCGCGGCCUAUCAGCUAGUUGGUGGGGCAACGGCCUACCAAGGCGACGACGGGUAGCCGGCCUGAGAGGGCGACCGGCCACACUGGGACUGAGACACGGCCCAGACUCCUACGGGAGGCAGCAGUGGGGAAUAUUGCGCAAUGGGCGAAAGCCUGACGCAGCGACGCCGCGUGGGGGAUGAAGGCCUUCGGGUUGUAAACCCCUUUCAGCAGGGACGAAGCGAGAGUGACGGUACCUGCAGAAGAAGCGCCGGCUAACUACGUGCCAGCAGCCGCGGUAACACGUAGGGCGCAAGCGUUGUCCGGAAUUAUUGGGCGUAAAGAGCUCGUAGGCGGUCUGCUACGUCCGCUGUGAAAACCUAGGGCUUAACCCUGGGCUUGCAGUA